GACGAACGCUGGCGGCGUGCCUAAUACAUGCAAGUAGAACGCUGAAGGAGGAGCUUGCUCUUCUGGAUGAGUUGCGAACGGGUGAGUAACGCGUAGGUAACCUGCCUGGUAGCGGGGGAUAACUAUUGGAAACGAUAGCUAAUACCGCAUAAGAGUAGAUGUUGCAUGACAUUUACUUAAAAGGUGCAAUUUCAUCACUACCAGAUGGACCUGCGUUGUAUUAGCUAGUUGGUGGGGUAACGGCUUACCAAGGCGACGAUACAUAGCCGACCUGAGAGGGUGAUCGGCCAAACUGGGACUGAGACACGGCCCAGACUCCUACGGGAGGCAGCAGUAGGGAAUCUUCGGAAAUGGACGGAAGGCUGACCGAGCAACGCCGCGUGAGUGAAGAAGGGUUUCGGAUCGUAAAGCUCUGUUGUAAGAGAAGAACGAGUGUGAGAGUGGAAAGUUCACACUGUGACGGUAUCUUACCAGAAAGGGACGGCUAACUACGUG
This 495-nucleotide ribosomal RNA is filed under the name uncultured bacterium. Its description in RNAcentral is "partial 16S ribosomal RNA". It matches the Rfam family "Bacterial small subunit ribosomal RNA", at positions 28 to 507 of the family's 1533-position model. The record is from RNAcentral.